This 455-nucleotide long non-coding RNA is filed under the name Olea europaea subsp. europaea. Lineage: Eukaryota; Viridiplantae; Streptophyta; Magnoliopsida; Lamiales; Oleaceae. The record is from RNAcentral.
GCGAUGGGCAACUCACACGAGCAAAUUUGUGCAAGUUUAAGAGGCUUUUUGGGAAAUUUCAAAGGCUUUAUUAUGCACCACAUUGAAGAGUAUUGAGAAGGGUAAAGAAGCAUGAAAAGAAGAAGAAUACCAAGGAAAAAGUGGAGAGGCUUUAGGAAAAUCAAGAUUAAGCCCUUGCAAUCUUCAAGAAUCUGUUCAAGGGACGGAUUCCACCUAUUGUCUUGUAUUUCAUCAUUUAUUUUCCCUAUUUUGUAAUGUAUUUCUCUAACUUUUCCAUUUUGUGCCACUUUUAUACAAUGAGUUAAGCUUUUUAAUGUUAGGGUAAUAGAGGUAGCUUAACCUCGUGUGAUUAAUUUCAAUAUUUGUUAUUUAAUGUUAAAAUGCUUAUGUUCUUGUGUAUUUACUGUUGUAUUUAAUGUUUCUCAUUUAUGUGCCAAUAAAUGAUUGUGUUGAGU